CCUGCUGCUCAGCUCACAGGGGCCUGUGUGUGUGGCAGCUCCAUCUGGACCCUGUUGGCCCUUCUCAUGGGAGGCCUGAGGACACAGCCAGCAUGGGAGGACUCUCGGGCCCUCUCAGGGGAGAAGACCACAGAAGAUGAGGACUCUCUGUGACCUUGGAUUCAUAGCAACAGAGAAAAGGAUUUUGGGAGAAGACAUUUUAAAAGAUAAAACAUUAUAAGAGAUAAACGAUACAUUAAAUUCUUCUGUGGAACAAAGAAUACAGCCAAGACAAUGAGGAAACCCCAUUACAUGGAAAAAAGUUGGAUGGACAGAUUACUUCAAGAAGACUGAAGUGGGGUUCUACACGCAGGGUCUUCUGAAGAUGGUGUGCCCAAGUUUCUCGUGAGUAGACCUUUUUCGUUUGGGAUGGACACUCUUGUGAAUUUAACAUCGAGGGAACCUAUCUA
Molecule: long non-coding RNA, 449 nt
Filed under: Mus caroli (Ryukyu mouse)
Lineage: Eukaryota; Metazoa; Chordata; Mammalia; Rodentia; Muridae
Description: lncRNA (MGP_CAROLIEiJ_G0002804.1)
Source: RNAcentral